CAUAAAUCAUUGAACAAGAGUAGUACGUACUAUCAAAAUCGUUACAGAAAGCCGGAGCUGAUGAGAAUCCGGCACGAGGGAUAGUACUGAAUGGACUUGUGAGAGGCUGCUUGAACAGUAAGUAGGACAGCCCGGGAUUCCGCCGUUAAAAGGAUAGGGUAUCGGAAUGAGAUGUAUUCCUGUACCUGAAAAAGUGGAAGUUCUAUUUGAACUUCAAUGCGAGGUGGCACCGCGAUUCCGAUCGUCCUCCAU
Molecule: non-coding RNA, 252 nt
Filed under: Bacillus sp. (in: firmicutes)
Lineage: Bacteria; Bacillati; Bacillota; Bacilli; Caryophanales; Bacillaceae
Description: Bacillus sp. T-box sequence
Rfam family: T-box leader
About the family: Uncharged tRNA acts as the effector for transcription antitermination of genes in the T-box leader family.
Source: RNAcentral